RNAcentral lists this unclassified non-coding RNA (3641 nucleotides) under Hevea brasiliensis (rubber tree). Lineage: Eukaryota; Viridiplantae; Streptophyta; Magnoliopsida; Malpighiales; Euphorbiaceae. The record is from RNAcentral.
GCUUUGCCUUUGACACCCAACCCCUCAAAACCCCUUCUCCGACCCUCUCCUUCAAUGGCGCUUCCAAACUAGGCCCAACAAAAUCCUUCAUUUCUCAAAUUCGCCCGUCGAUUUCCCCAAUUUCUCCACGUACAAUGUUGAAGCUCCUUUCCUCCUGUUCAGCGCGCCAAAUCCAUAACCACCUAGCCUCUCCGUGCCUCCGAGUGACGACCCAGUCGUCCACAAAUUCGUUGCUCAAAGCGCUCGGUUCCAUCACUGGAUUGACUCGUAGGACAUCCGGAAACCGUACCUAUUAUCAAAGGGCCUUUUUUUGCUCGGGUUCUUCCAGCGAUGGGACUGCCGAGGUGGUAGAGGUGGAGUUGAAGAGUGGAGAAUCGGGGGCUGACAGUACUGACGCUAGCAAUGCAAUUGUACCCACGAGUCCUAGGCCGGAGGAUUAUCUCACGGUGUUAGCGUUACCCUUGCCACAUAGACCUCUGUUUCCUGGUUUCUACAUGCCAAUUUAUGUCAAGGAUCCUAAAUUAUUGGCAGCUUUACAAGAAAGCAGAAAAAGGCAAGCUCCAUAUGCUGGUGCUUUUCUUCUUAAAGAUGAGCCAGUGACUGAUCCCAGCAUGGUAACUGGUUCUGAAUCAGAGAAAAACACGUAUGACCUUAAGGGAAAAGAUUUGUUUAAUCGUCUCCAUGAAGUUGGCACACUUGCCCAGAUUACAAGCAUCCAGGGAGACCAGGUCAUCCUUAUAGGUCACAGGCGACUUAAAAUAACAGAGAUGGUUAGUGAGGAUCCACUUACUGUCAAAGUUGAUCAUCUCAAGGAAAAACCAUAUAACAAGGACGAUGAUGUCAUAAAGGCAACAUCAUUUGAGGUUAUUUCAACCCUGAGAGAUGUUCUGAAGAUAAGUUCCCUUUGGAGAGAUCAUGUUCAAACUUAUACUCAGCAUAUAGGUGACUUCAAUUUUCCAAGGUUAGCUGAUUUUGGGGCUGCAAUAUCUGGUGCAAACAAAUUGCAGUGCCAGGAAGUGCUUGAGGAGCUGGAUGUGUACAAACGUUUGAAACUCACACUGGAGUUGGUGAAGAAAGAAGUAGAAAUCAGCAAGAUUCAGGAAUCAAUUGCAAAAGCAAUUGAAGAAAAGAUAAGUGGUGAACAGCGUCGCUAUUUGUUGAAUGAACAGCUUAAGGCCAUAAAGAAGGAACUGGGAUUGGAAACAGAUGACAAAACUGCACUCUCUGCAAAGUUUAGGGAAAGGCUUGAACCAAAUAAAGAAAAAAUUCCGGCUGAUGUUUUGCAAGUAAUAGAAGAAGAGCUUACAAAACUGCAGCUUUUAGAGGCCAGUUCAAGUGAAUUUAAUGUUACUCGUAAUUAUCUGGAUUGGUUGACUGCAUUGCCUUGGGGUAAUUAUAGUGAUGAGAAUUUUGAUGUCCUUCGAGCACAAAAAAUUCUUGAUGAAGAUCAUUAUGGACUAACUGAUGUUAAGGAAAGGAUAUUGGAGUUCAUUGCUGUUGGAAAACUCAGAGGAAUCUCUCAAGGUUAGUUUACAUUCAUUGUCUUUUGUAUGUGUUUCCAAAUCUGAAAAAGAUUUCCACUAAUUAAAAUUUAUUGUUUUUUCUUUUCAUCUGUGUAUUUCUGUUCCAUUCAUCUCUGAUAUGUCUGCUAGUUAGAGCAGCAGUAGUAUGUAAUUUCUAAUUUCUUGCAAAUACAUCUCAGGAAAAAUCAUCUGUCUAUCUGGUCCACCAGGAGUGGGCAAAACUAGCAUUGGCCGUUCAAUUGCACGUGCUUUGAAUCGGAAGUUCUUUCGAUUCUCUGUAGGAGGGUUAUCUGAUGUUGCUGAAAUCAAGGGGCAUCGUCGAACCUAUAUUGGUGCAAUGCCAGGAAAGAUGGUGCAAUGUCUGAAAAAUGUAGGAACUGCUAACCCUCUUGUUCUGAUUGACGAGAUUGACAAGUUGGGAAGAGGACAUACUGGUGAUCCAGCAAGUGCUUUAUUGGAGCUUCUUGAUCCAGAGCAAAAUGCUAAUUUUCUGGACCACUACCUUGAUGUUCCAAUUGACCUAUCAAAGGUUCUAUUUGUAUGCACAGCAAAUGUUGUGGACAUGAUACCUAAUCCUCUGUUGGACAGAAUGGAGGUAAUUGCUAUUGCUGGGUAUAUUACUGAUGAGAAAAUGCACAUUGCCAGAGAUUAUUUAGAGAAGUCUACACUGGAAGCUUGUGGCAUCAAGCCUGGACAGGUUGAAUUGACAGAUGCUGCUCUUCUUGCGCUGAUAGAGAAUUACUGCCGAGAAGCAGGGGUUCGGAAUCUUCAAAAGCACAUAGAAAAGAUUUAUCGCAAGAUUGCACUGAAACUUGUGCGUCAAGGAGAAUUGAGCGAAUCUGAUGUUUCUGGAGAAACAAAAAAAGCAAAAGCAGAAUCUGUUCGAAGCUCUUCAGAAUCAGUAGAGGGUAGCAGUAAUAAACAAAAUAAUGAAACAUCUGUAGAAGCUGAGACUGUGACAAUUGAUCAGCCAUCUGAUCAAAUUCAGGGUCCUGUAGAUCAACCUGCUGAUUCAAAGGAAGCAACUGAAACUGAAAAAAUUGAAGAAAGUGAAGUAACUAGGGCAGUUAAGAAGGUGUUGGUUGACACAUCUAACCUAGCUGAUUUUGUUGGCAAACCUGUUUUCCAUGCUGAGCGCAUCUAUGAACAGACUCCAGUUGGAGUUGUGAUGGGUCUUGCAUGGACUGCAAUGGGUGGUUCUACAUUGUAUAUAGAGACCACUCAGGUUGAGCAAGGAGAGGGGAAAGGGGCUCUUCAACUUACUGGUCAACUUGGAGAUGUUAUGAAAGAAAGUGCCCAAAUUGCUCACACAGUUGCCAGAGCUAUAUUGGUUGGGAAAGAGCCAGAUAACCCCUUCUUUGCUAAUUCCAAGCUUCAUCUCCAUGUUCCAGCAGGGGCCACCCCCAAGGAUGGGCCUAGUGCUGGUUGCACCAUGAUCACAUCCUUGCUUUCCCUUGCCAUGAAGAAGACUGUCAGGAGAGAUCUAGCAAUGACUGGGGAAGUUACACUAACAGGGAAAAUUCUUCCCAUUGGCGGGGUUAAGGAGAAAACAAUAGCAGCAAGGAGGAGUGAAGUGAAGACUAUCAUAUUCCCAUCAGCUAACAGAAGGGAUUUUGAUGAGCUUGCACCUAAUGUGAAAGAGGGCCUAGAUGUCCACUUUGUAGAUGACUAUAGCCAGGUAUUUGAUUUGGCCUUUGGAUAUGACCAGAAUGGGGAAAAAUAAACACACAUAGGUACUCCAUUCUCGUGAUUAUUUUUCAGGGUUCCUCCAUGAAGUGCAUUUGUUCAUUUUGGCCAUAUCCUGGAACCAAACCCAGUUUUGUACCGUGGUGAUUAUAUUUUUCAUGGGAAUGGUCUCAGAACAAAAUACAUCUGAGAUUUUUCAUCUUAUGGACGGGAAAUGAUUUGCCAUUGUUUUAUUCUCAUGUUUUAGUUGAUGUAAAACAAAACCACCCAUUAAUAAUAAUUGUAAUUUAAAUUGCUGAAAGGGCUGGUUUGUAAUUUUUAGGACUGAUAUUACUUGUUUUGUAAGCCAUAGUUUAACAUUAUAAAUGAAAGUUUGUUUGAAUAAUCCAAUGGAUCUUCGUCUUCUUCUUGGGUGGAAAACGAGGAAAUUUU